AAUAGAUCCCCGGUAGUCCACGCCGUAAACGAUGAGUGCUAAGUGUUAGGGGGUUUCCGCCCCUUAGUGCUGCAGCUAACGCAUUAAGCACUCCGCCUGGGGAGUACGGUCGCAAGACUGAAACUCAAAGGAAUUGACGGGGGCCCGCACAAGCGGUGGAGCAUGUGGUUUAAUUCGAAGCAACGCGAAGAACCUUACCAGGUCUUGACAUCCCGCUGACCGGUCUAGAGAUAGACUUUUCCCUUCGGGGACAGCGGUGACAGGUGGUGCAUGGUUGUCGUCAGCUCGUGUCGUGAGAUGUUGGGUUAAGUCCCGCAACGAGCGCAACCCUUGAUCUUAGUUGCCAGCAUUCAGUUGGGCACUCUAAGGUGACUGCCGGUGAUAAACCGGAGGAAGGUGGGGAUGACGUCAAAUCAUCAUGCCCCUUAUGACCUGGGCUACACACGUGCUACAAUGGACGGUACAGAGGGUCGCAACCCCGCGAGGGUGAGCUAAUCCCAUAAAACCGUUCUCAGUUCGGAUUGUAGGCUGCAACUCGCCUA
Molecule: ribosomal RNA, 542 nt
Filed under: uncultured bacterium
Lineage: Bacteria
Description: bacterial SSU rRNA
Rfam family: Bacterial small subunit ribosomal RNA
Source: RNAcentral